AGGACGAACGCUGGCGGCGUGCUUAACACAUGCAAGUCGAACGGUAAGGCCCCUUCGGGGUACACGAGUGGCGAACGGGUGAGUAACACGUGAGCAACCUGCCCUUGACAUUGGAAUAACAGUUGGAAACAGCUGCUAAUACCGGGUAUGACCUGUCACCGCAUGGUGGUGGGUGGAAAGCCUUGGCGGUCAGGGAUGGGCUCGCGGCCUAUCAGCUAGUUGGUGAGGUAAUGGCUCACCAAGGCUUCGACGGGUA
This 256-nucleotide ribosomal RNA is filed under the name uncultured bacterium. Its description in RNAcentral is "partial small subunit ribosomal RNA". It matches the Rfam family "Bacterial small subunit ribosomal RNA", at positions 26 to 285 of the family's 1533-position model. The record is from RNAcentral.